Molecule: ribosomal RNA, 253 nt
Filed under: uncultured bacterium
Lineage: Bacteria
Description: partial 16S ribosomal RNA
Rfam family: Bacterial small subunit ribosomal RNA
Source: RNAcentral
CACGUAGGGCGCAAGCGUUGUCCGGAAUUAUUGGGCGUAAAGAGCUCGUAGGCGGUCUGUUGCGUCCGCUGUGAAAACUCGGGGCUUAACCCCGAGCCUGCAGUGGAUACGGGCAGACUAGAGGUAGGUAGGGGAGAAUGGAAUUCCCGGUGUAGCGGUGAAAUGCGCAGAUAUCGGGAGGAACACCGGUGGCGAAGGCGGUUCUCUGGGCCUUACCUGACGCUGAGAAGCGAAAGCAUGGGGAGCGAACAGG